Pongo pygmaeus (Bornean orangutan) is the source of this 1602-nucleotide long non-coding RNA. RefSeq lists it as uncharacterized. The record is from RefSeq and is a predicted model, not a curated record. The transcript has 4 exons. NCBI's taxonomy places the organism in Eukaryota, Metazoa, Chordata, Mammalia, Primates, Hominidae.
AGAAGCAAGAAGCUGUCUUCCCGCCCCCGCGUGCCUACAAUCAGCCCCAGUCUCCCUGGGAAACAUGACGAGCUCACCUGAGCUGGGUUCUGAGCUCCAGCGUUUGGGGCUAAAAGUUGCGGACUGGUAGCUGAGGCGGCACGAGAGUAUAGGCGCGCGGGGUCGUUGCCGGGGGCACAGAGUGAGAACAAGCAAGGGAGCCCUGCUGAAUUGCAGCUUAGGAAGCCCUGAAUCCUGGAGGAUCUUACCUCAUUUCCAACAAACAACAAAAUACCUACCAAAACAACAACAAAACACCAAGCUCUGGUCCUUCACUGAGAUAUGUUCCUGACCCUUCCUUCUUGAAGGGACAGCUGUGUAACCAUUCAACCAUCUGGCCAUCAGUUUCCACAUCUGUGAAAUCAACUUCUGCCUCAUGGAGCCAUGAGUUCCCAAGAGUUUCACUCUUGUUGCCUAGGUUGGAGUGCAAUGGCACGAUCUCAGCUCACUGCAACCUCUGCCUCCUGGAUUCAAGCAAACCUGAUGCCCCAGCCUCCUGAGUAGCUGGGAUUACAGACAUGCACCACCAUCCCUGGAUAAUUUUGUAUUUUUAGUAGAGACAGGGUUUCUCCAUGUUGGUCAGGCUGGUCUCAAACUGCCAACCUCAGUUGAUCCGCCUGCCUUGGCCUCUCAAAGUGCUGGAAUUACAGGUGUGAGCCACUGUUCCCGGCCUUAUUUUUAUUAAUUCUUAUUGAAUAAUAAAAGUAUUUAAAAGUAUGUGUUUUAUUCUGAGUAAGGUGUAAGUACUUCUCAUAAAUUUAAAUGUUGUGUUGUCAUACUUAUAGGUCACUGGUGCUUUCUAAUUAGUCUGCUGUUGAUGCUUUGAAUUUCUGUGACUUAAUAGUGUACAUUUUAUUUCUAGUUAAUAAGUGGACUUUUAUUUAUUAUUUGUGUUUUGUUGCCAUGCAAAUAUUUACUUUUAUUAUAUUGUAGUCAAAGAACGUGCCUUUAUUAGUUGUACUAUUUGGGAUAUAUUAAGAAACCCUUUUAUAAAAUGCAUCAUGAAUUUUGAAAAGAAUAUGCAUUGUCUAUGUGUAAAAAGCUCAAUAUAUAUACAUGCUAAGCUUUUAAAUUAUAUAACGUAUAUUUGUUAGCUUGUUCUGUAGAAGACUGAGAGACAUAGAUUAAUGUCUGAUUUUUUUCAAUCUAUUCAUAUAAUUUCUCACAAAUUUUAUUAGGUAUAUUUUAAAACUAUGUUAUUUAGCACAUGAACACUCACUGAUUUAGCUUGAAAAAUUAUAUUAAAUUCUUAUCAUUGUACAUUUGCCUAGAUGUCUGGCAUAUAGUAGACAUUUAACAAACAGAAAUUUAAUUAUGGCCUUAAAUUUUUUAAAAAUAAUUUUGAAUGCCACUUAUUUAUUAGCAUCAAUAUCAUAUCACUUAUAUUGGUUGGAAUAUGCUUUAAAAUAUGUUAGCCAGAAAAAAGUAUAUGGAAGAGAUGACAGAAGAUUGACCAAAAAAAAAAAAUGUUGAUAAUCACCAGUGUUGGAUGGGGAUAUGUGAGGGUUAAUAACAAUAUUCUCUUUUUUUGUUUAUGCUUGAAAUUUUUCACAAUAAAAGAUU